This 822-nucleotide ribosomal RNA is filed under the name uncultured Orbiliaceae. RNAcentral describes it as "eukaryotic LSU rRNA". The stretch from base 246 to 822 matches the Rfam family "Eukaryotic large subunit ribosomal RNA", at positions 1 to 581 of the family's 3401-position model. Lineage: Eukaryota; Fungi; Ascomycota; Orbiliomycetes; Orbiliales. The record is from RNAcentral.
UCAUCGAGUCUUUGAACGCACAUUGCGCCCAUUGGUAUUCCUUUGGGCAUGUCUGUUUGAGCGUCAUUACAACACCUCAGCACACGCUGGUUUUGAGCUGUGAGGGUUCAGAAAUGAACCCUUCCGCUUUAAAGUUGUAAGCUCUGCUGACUUCCAGCUUGACCGGAAACAUAGUAAAUUUCUUGCUUGUUUAUAGGAAAAAGUUGAGAAGUUUGGCCUGAAAAACACCUUCAAUUUCUAAGGUUUGACCUCAGAUCAGACAAGGAUACCCGCUGAACUUAAGCAUAUCAAUAAGCGGAGGAAAAGAAACCAACAGGGAUUGCCUCAGUAACGGCGAGUGAAGCGGCAAUAGCUCAAAUUUGAAAUCUGGAGUCUCCGACUUCCGAGUUGUAAUUUGAAGAGGAUGUUUCGGUUGCGAUCUGGGCCUAAGUUCCUUGGAACAGGACGUCAUGGAGGGUGAGAAUCCCGUACAUGGCUGCAGGUUUGCUUCUAUGUGAAACUCCUUCGAAGAGUCGAGUUGUUUGGGAAUGCAGCUCAAAAUGGGUGGUAAAUUUCAUCUAAAGCUAAAUAUUGGCGAGAGACCGAUAGCGCACAAGUAGAGUGAUCGAAAGAUGAAAAGCACUUUGAAAAGAGAGUUAAACAGUACGUGAAAUUGUUGAAAGGGAAGCGCUUGCAAUCAGACUCACUUGCGGUUGAUCAACGUUCCUUUUGGUUCGUGCACUCUGCCGUUUGUGGGCCAGCAUCAGUUGGGGCGGUGGGACAAAGGUAGCAGGAAUGUGGCUCUCUUCGGGGAGUGUUAUAGCCUGUUGCGUAAUGCCACCA